GGGGUUGUGACUCAGUGGUAGAGUGCUCACCUAACACGUGUGAGGCACUGGGUUUGAUUCUCAGCACCA
Molecule: transfer RNA, 69 nt
Filed under: Ictidomys tridecemlineatus (thirteen-lined ground squirrel)
Lineage: Eukaryota; Metazoa; Chordata; Mammalia; Rodentia; Sciuridae
Description: Spermophilus tridecemlineatus (thirteen-lined ground squirrel) tRNA
Rfam family: tRNA
About the family: Transfer RNA (tRNA) molecules are approximately 80 nucleotides in length. Their secondary structure includes four short double-helical elements and three loops (D, anti-codon, and T loops). Further hydrogen bonds mediate the characteristic L-shaped molecular structure. tRNAs have two regions of fundamental functional importance: the anti-codon, which is responsible for specific mRNA codon recognition, and the 3' end, to which the tRNAs corresponding amino acid is attached (by aminoacyl-tRNA synthetases). tRNAs cope with the degeneracy of the genetic code in two manners: having more than one tRNA (with a specific anti-codon) for a particular amino acid; and 'wobble' base-pairing, i.e. permitting non-standard base-pairing at the 3rd anti-codon position.
Source: Rfam by way of RNAcentral